Molecule: long non-coding RNA, 379 nt
Filed under: Musa acuminata (dwarf banana)
Lineage: Eukaryota; Viridiplantae; Streptophyta; Magnoliopsida; Zingiberales; Musaceae
Description: long non-coding RNA (MACU_LNC005247)
Source: RNAcentral
GACAAGCUGACCUGAAAGAUUUAUAUAAUAACGGAGUGAGCUAAAAACAGCUCAGCAAAUAACAAAGCAUAUAUAGCAUGAGAAGGGACAGUUUCAAACAAACAAGAUAUCACAAUGCAAGACAGAAUCCAAGAGAUUCAAGGAUAUCAUCUCAUUAGAUACAGAAUCGCAAAUGUCAUUUCAUUCAUAACAUAUUUGGUUCAUAACAAAUGGAGCAUAGAGUAAUUGGAGCAUAUCAAUAGCGAAUGAAAUGUUCCGGAGCAUAUCAACAACAUAUGGAACAUUUCGAAGCAUAACAAUAGCAAAUGAAACAUUUCAGAGCAUAUCAAAGGCGUAUGAAAUGUUUCGGAGCAUAUCAAUAACAAAUGGGACAUUUCGA